RNAcentral lists this ribosomal RNA (448 nucleotides) under uncultured bacterium. RNAcentral's name for it is "bacterial SSU rRNA". It matches the Rfam family "Bacterial small subunit ribosomal RNA", at positions 335 to 774 of the family's 1533-position model. The record is from RNAcentral.
ACUCCUACGGGAGGCAGCAGUGGGGAAUAUUGGACAAUGGGCGAAAGCCUGAUCCAGCCAUGCCGCGUGUGUGAAGAAGGUCUUCGGAUUGUAAAGCACUUUAAGUUGGGAGGAAGGGCAGUUACCUAAUACGUGAUUGUUUUGACGUUACCGACAGAAUAAGCACCGGCUAACUCUGUGCCAGCAGCCGCGGUAAUACAGAGGGUGCAAGCGUUAAUCGGAAUUACUGGGCGUAAAGCGCGCGUAGGUGGUUAGUUAAGUUGGAUGUGAAAUCCCCGGGGCUCAACCUGGGAACUGCAUUCAAAACUGACUGACUAGAGUAUGGUAGAGGGUGGUGGAAUUUCCUGUGUAGCGGUGAAAUGCGUAGAUAUAGGAAGGAACACCAGUGGCGAAGGCGACCACCUGGACUGAUACUGACACUGAGGUGCGAAAGCGUGGGGAGCAAACA